GUAGCCCAUUUCUUUCCACUCCAUACGCUACACCUCGACCUGACGUUUUUGGGUAGGCCCAUUUUGCUUACUGUUGGGCCUUCAUAGGGUAAGCUGACGACGGCGGUAUAUAGGCGGGAAAAAACAAGAAGUGGUGAGGUU
This 141-nucleotide ribosomal RNA is filed under the name Noturus leptacanthus (speckled madtom). Its description in RNAcentral is "partial 12S ribosomal RNA". The record is from RNAcentral. Lineage: Eukaryota; Metazoa; Chordata; Actinopteri; Siluriformes; Ictaluridae.